UCAGUCGUGUGCUCUUCCGAUCUGUUUGAUCCUGGCUCAGAAGGAACGCUAGCUAUAUGCUUAACACAUGCAAGUCGAAUGUUGUUUUCGGGGAGCUGGGCAGAAGGAAAAGAGGCUCCUAGCUAAAGUUGUCUCACCCUGCUUCAAAACUACAGGGCGCGCGCUACGGCUUUGACCUAACGGCCUCCCUUUGCUGGAAUCGGAAUAGUUGAGAACAAA
This is a long non-coding RNA of Triticum dicoccoides, 219 nucleotides long. RefSeq lists it as uncharacterized. The record is from RefSeq and is a predicted model, not a curated record. The transcript is spliced from 4 exons. Lineage: Eukaryota; Viridiplantae; Streptophyta; Magnoliopsida; Poales; Poaceae.